GGGGCAGCAUGGUCUUAGCUUGCUAAGGCCGAUGGCGACCGGCGCACGGGUGAGUAACACGUAUCCAACUUGCCGUCUACUCUUGGACAGCCUUCUGAAAGGAAGAUUAAUACAAGAUGGCAUCAUGAGUCCACAUGUUCACAUGAUUAAAGGUAUUCCGGUAGACGAUGGGGAUGCGUUCCAUUAGAUAGUAGGCGGGGUAACGGCCCACCUAGUCUUCGAUGGAUAGGGGUUCUGAGAGGAAGGUCCCCCACAUUGGAACUGAGACACGGUCCAAACUCCUACGGGAGGCAGCAGUGAGGAAUAUUGGUCAAUGGGCGAGAGCCUGAACCAGCCAAGUAGCGUGAAGGAUGACUGCCCUAUGGGUUGUAAACUUCUUUUAUAAAGGAAUAAAGUCGGGUAUGCAUACCCGUUUGCAUGUACUUUAUGAAUAAGGAUCGGCUAACUCCGUGCCAGCAGCCGCGGUAAUACGGAGGAUCCGAGCGCUAUCCGGAUUUAUUGGGUUUAAAGGGAGCGUAGAUGGAUGUUUAAGUCAGUUGUGAAAGUUUGCGGCUCAACCGUAAAAUUGCAGUUGAUACUGGAUAUCUUGAGUGCAGUUGAGGCAGGCGGAAUUCGUGGUGUAGCGGUGAAAUGCUUAGAUAUCACGAAGAACUCCGAUUGCGAAGGCAGCCUGCUAAG
RNAcentral lists this ribosomal RNA (678 nucleotides) under uncultured Bacteroidales bacterium. RNAcentral describes it as "bacterial SSU rRNA". It matches the Rfam family "Bacterial small subunit ribosomal RNA", at positions 66 to 733 of the family's 1533-position model. Lineage: Bacteria; Pseudomonadati; Bacteroidota; Bacteroidia; Bacteroidales. The record is from RNAcentral.